This 626-nucleotide ribosomal RNA is filed under the name uncultured bacterium. RNAcentral describes it as "bacterial SSU rRNA". It matches the Rfam family "Bacterial small subunit ribosomal RNA", at positions 56 to 718 of the family's 1533-position model. The record is from RNAcentral.
UGCAGUCGUACGAAGGCUUCGGCCUUAGUGGCGCACGGGUAAGUAACACGUGGGAACCUGCCUUUCGGUUCGGGAUAACGUCUGGAAACGGACGCUAACACCGGAUACGCCCCCCAGAGAGAUUUGGGUGGGGAAAGUUUACGCCGAGAGAGGGGCCCGCGUCCGAUUAGGUAGUUGGUGGGGUAACGGCCUACCAAGCCGACGAUCGGUAGCUGGUCUGAGAGGAUGAUCAGCCACACUGGGACUGAGACACGGCCCAGACUCCUACGGGAGGCAGCAGUGGGGAAUAUUGGACAAUGGGGGCAACCCUGAUCCAGCAAUGCCGCGUGAGUGAUGAAGGCCUUCGGGUUGUAAAGCUCUUUCGCACGCGACGAUGAUGACGGUAGCGUGAGAAGAAGCCCCGGCUAACUUCGUGCCAGCAGCCGCGGUAAUACGAAGGGGGCUAGCGUUGUUCGGAAUUACUGGGCGUAAAGGGCGCGUAGGCGGCCCGUUCAGUCAGAUGUGAAAGCCCCGGGCUCAACCUGGGAAUUGCAUUUGAUACUGGCGGGCUUGAGUUCCGGAGAGGAUGGUGGAAUUCCCAGUGUAGAGGUGAAAUUCGUAGAUAUUGGGAAGAACACCGGUGGCGA